RNAcentral lists this ribosomal RNA (468 nucleotides) under uncultured bacterium. Its description in RNAcentral is "partial 16S ribosomal RNA". It matches the Rfam family "Bacterial small subunit ribosomal RNA", at positions 28 to 507 of the family's 1533-position model. The record is from RNAcentral.
GACGAACGCUGGCGGCGUGCUUAACACAUGCAAGUCGAACGGAAAGGCCCUGCUUUUGUGGGGUGCUCGAGUGGCGAACGGGUGAGUAACACGUGAGUAACCUGCCCUUGACUUUGGGAUAACUUCAGGAAACUGGGGGUAAUACCGGAUAGGAGCUCCUGCUGCAUGGUGGGGGUUGGAAAGUUUCGGCGGUUGGGGAUGGACUCGCGGCUUAUCAGCUUGUUGGUGGGGUAGUGGCUUACCAAGGCUUUGACGGGUAGCCGGCCUGAGAGGGUGACCGGCCACAUUGGGACUGAGAUACGGCCCAGACUCCUACGGGAGGCAGCAGUGGGGAAUAUUGCACAAUGGGCGGAAGCCUGAUGCAGCAACGCCGCGUGCGGGAUGACGGCCUUCGGGUUGUAACCCGCUUUCGCCUGUGACGAAGCGUGAGUGACGGUAAUGGGUAAAGAAGCACCGGCUAACUACGUG